UACGUAGGCAGCAAGCGUUGUUCGGAGUUACUGGGCGUAAAGAGUGUGUAGGCUGUUCUCUAAGUUUGGUGUGAAAUCUCCCGGCUCAACUGGGAGGGUGCGCCGAAAACUGGAGGGCUCGAGUAUGGGAGAGGAAAGCGGAAUUCCUGGUGUAGCGGUGAAAUGCGUAGAUAUCAGGAGGAACACCUGCGGUGUAGACAGCUUUCUGGACCAUCACUGACGCUGAGACACGAAAGCGUGGGGAGCAAACAGG
This 253-nucleotide ribosomal RNA is filed under the name uncultured bacterium. RNAcentral's name for it is "partial 16S ribosomal RNA". It matches the Rfam family "Bacterial small subunit ribosomal RNA", at positions 524 to 776 of the family's 1533-position model. The record is from RNAcentral.